GGAACUCCUACCAACACGUACCAAGGAAUUACUAUCCCUGCUGCAGUGAAAACUCUGUAGAAUCUUCACUCAACACUCCCCAGAAAUAAAGUGAAGAAAAAAUGCAACAUUCACGUUGGUGAAAGGCGAGGGAUUUAACCAUCAACAUAAUUAUAUUGAGCAACGUAAAAAGAUGUUCUCUCCACUUCACGAACAUCCCUUGGAGCAAGUUAAUCCUUUGGAAGUGUACCAAUUAUAUAGAGGACGGUGGAAGUGCGACCAUUGCAAUUCUGAAAGUGGUGCAAUAGGUACGUAUCCCUUCCAUUGUAGACAGUGUUCUUUUGACCUGUGCUAUUCUUGUAUGCACAUGCAACAUCUGGGAAGCAACUUGAUUCAUCGGCAUCAGCUGCAUUACAUGGAAACCAGCCGUCUGGUUUAUCAAAAUGAAGGAGGAAUUUGGCGGUGUGAUGUUUGCAAAAAGACAAGUGAUGAAUUGAGAGAAACAUUCUCAUACCACUGCCCAACCUGCGGUGACUUUGAUGUUUGUCGUAGCUGUAACGAGCCCAAGAGGCACCCUAUCCAUGUUCACGAACUUAAAGUGGUUGACACAUCACUAAUCUAUCUUCAGUCUGGUGGGAACUGGGUUUGUGACAUCUGUGGGAAUAUGAGCAGGCCAUAUGAAAAGUAAGUGAAACAUUCAGAUUAUUUUGAUAUCCCAUAUCUAGUGUUUCUACCUCAGAAUGAAAAGGAGGAAGGGUGUCGCAUUGAUCUUUUGAGUAAUGAGAAUAGAAUAGAAUAGAAUCUUUAUUUAUACGCGAUAAGAAUUAAAGCUAAAAAGCUUGUGGGGUCGUUUACUUAACAAAAUAGUAUCUAGCCAACUAUUCAUUGUACUAAGACACAUUUCAAACUAAGUAAGAAACUAUAAUACAGUAAAACAUUCAAUUUUCCUCUCAACUUAAAAAUACUUGUUAUCAGUUAUCUAUUCCUAGCCGUCAAACCUGAUAAACUAGUAAAUGUGAAGCUUGUGAAGUGAUUAUUUCUCCUGAGUAGCCUCCUAAGAUUCUUAAGGGCGAAGCUACCUACAUUUUUGACAUGAUGGUUAACUUAGUUCCAUAGUACCUAACCUCUAUAUGCUAAAGAGUCCUUUAACAAUCUAGUGUUGAAUCUAGGUAAUAUGUUUAUUGCUUCUUGGUCUCUUAGUAAAUAGCUACAUUCCUGCCUUAUGAAUAUGCUAUUAAUCAGAGACUGAGGUUGUGAGACUUUACUUGCUCUAUAAAAAAGGUUAACUUUUUGAAAUAUGUAUUCUAAAUUUAUCAUAUCCUAUCCUGAAACAUUGAGAGCUACAUUAGAUUCCGUAUCUUUGGAUAAGUUGUAGACAAUUUUUGCUGCUCUACAGUGAAGUUUCUCAAUUGAGUACAGAAGAUCCGAAUUUGUACACGAACCCCAUAAUAUAAUACCAUACUUCACAGAAGGUAAUAUUACACUAAAAUAAAACUUUAAAAGGACAUUUUUGGGCAAGAACCUUGAGCGCUUC
Molecule: unclassified non-coding RNA, 1513 nt
Filed under: Stylophora pistillata
Lineage: Eukaryota; Metazoa; Cnidaria; Anthozoa; Scleractinia; Pocilloporidae
Description: uncharacterized LOC111342977, transcript variant X2
Source: RNAcentral